Molecule: ribosomal RNA, 253 nt
Filed under: uncultured bacterium
Lineage: Bacteria
Description: partial 16S ribosomal RNA
Rfam family: Bacterial small subunit ribosomal RNA
Source: RNAcentral
UACGAGGGGGGCGAGCGUUGUUCGGAAUUAUUGGGCGUAAAGCGCGCGCAGGCGGUCUUCCAAGUCAGUGGUGAAAGCCCGGAGCUCAACUCCGGAACUGCCAUUGAAACUGUGAGACUUGAGUAUGAGAGAGGUGAGUGGAAUUCCCAGUGUAGAGGUGAAAUUCGUAGAUAUUGGGAAGAACACCGGUGGCGAAGGCGGCUCACUGGCUCAUUACUGACGCUCAGGCGCGACAGCGUGGGGAUCAAACAGG